AUUAGAGAAUCAUUGAGACGAUGUGGGAUAUCUGAAAGCUCUACUUACAUUCUAGCUGCCCGGUUCAAUGCUUCUCCCCUUGAGAUGGAGGAGGUAGCGAAGUUGAUCAGCGGGAAGGAAAUUGACUUGGAGGAAUUGAAGACGAAAGCCAAUCAAGCCAAUAUUUUAAAGCAUUACAAGAUAACUAGCCAAGAACUUGGGAUAUCCUCUCUCGGAGAUGCCAUUGUUUCCACUUUCCAGGAUCGCUGCACGCGACGCUUUGUAAAUGAAGACGUCUUUCUUUCUUUGUGUUCUUUCCUUUGCCACUAAUUAUAGUUUUUUUUUUGUCUCAGUUAUAAGUUAACCUCUUUA
Raphanus sativus (radish) is the source of this 351-nucleotide long non-coding RNA. RefSeq lists it as uncharacterized. The transcript has 3 exons. The record is from RefSeq and is a predicted model, not a curated record. Lineage: Eukaryota; Viridiplantae; Streptophyta; Magnoliopsida; Brassicales; Brassicaceae.